UCUGCGGAGGCCAGGCCACGGGGAGGACCAGCCCGGCGGCGGAGGCCAAGGCCGAGGCCGAGGCCACGGCCACAGCGGCCACCGGGCAGCCAGGCGGGAGGGAGGGCCUGACCCCCAGCACCGGGGCAGCGGCAGGAGGCCGGGGCUCGUCUGCGGCCCGAGCCAUGGCCAACAUCGCCGUGCAGCGGAUCAAGCGGGAGUUCAAGGAGGUGCUGAAGAGCGAGGAGGAGGAAGAUAUCAGCUAGAGAUAAAAAUACCAGAAACAUAUCCAUUCAACCCUCCUAAGGUGCGGUUUAUCACUAAAAUAUGGCAUCCCAAUAUUAGUUCUGUAACUGGAGCCAUCUGUUUGGAUAUCCUGAAAGAUCAGUGGGCAGCUGCGAUGACUCUCCGGACAGUAUUGUUAUCCUUGCAAGCAUUGUUGGCUGCAGCAGAACCAGAUGACCCCCAAGAUGCAGUGGUAGCCAAUCAGUACAAACAAAAUCCAGAAAUGUUUAAACAGACAGCACGACUCUGGGCACAUGUGUAUGCUGGAGCACCAGUUUCUAGUCCAGAAUACACCAAAAAGAUAGAAAACCUUUGUGCUAUGGGCUUUGAUAGGAAUGCAGUAAUAGUGGCCUUGUCUUCCAAAUCAUGGGACGUAGAGACGGCGACAGAACUGCUUCUGAGUAACUGAGCCACAGGGAGCGCAAGCGCUGCCGAUCCAGGACAGCCUGCCUCUUCCCGGGAACACCGCCGUCUGCAUAGAUUCUUUUAAAACUGGCACUCUGGCCUGCCCACCUCACCUAGGCCUCAGCGGAGACUGAAAAAACUGCUCUGUAAAUAAAGCUAAUUAAACGUCUGUGUACAUUUAAAAAGGGGAAAUACUUUAAUUUUUUCUUACGAAAUAGUGGAGAGGUUCUUCGAGCUGAGGUCAGACCAUGGAGGAAACGUGCAUCUAUAGUAUUUAGCAGGUGUGACCAAGACUAGCAAGAGUUGGCUUCAGGAUUUUGUUGAGUAACGAUCCACGUAACAUUUCGAGUGUGUCUUAGUCAUCCCACUUGUCGGUGCUGCUCAUCUGCGCGAUCUUGCUGUCGUUACCACGGACCCCCGUGUGCCUGUGAAUUACCUGCAUGCUUGUGCUUUACUGGGGGAGAGCGAGCGUGAGAGCGAGAGAGAGCUCAUGAGAGAGAAUGUGAAUAUCUAGUGGAGGGUUCUUCCAGGAGAGCUCUGGAAAACUCAUGCUUCGCCCCAAAUCGAGAGGUGAGGAGGCCUCUAAGGAAUCAUUUUCUUGUUGCUGUUGAACGGAAUGCUUCUUCCUCCCCCUCCCCCAGCCUCCUCCACAUACGUCUUUCCUCUAGAGCCAGAUUUUCUCCUUUACUCGGCGGGGGACGUGCUGCUUCUAGUGGCCCGCUGGGUUUGGGAUGUUUGACCAGAACUUUUCACACCCAGUCUUAAAGGGGUUCCUGCGUUCGUGACCGUGUCGAACCGGGGUGUUGGAUCGGAUUGCUCUGAUGGUUGAUAGGGCGAGUUCGCCCUGAGCACUGGGGACCAGGACUCAGCCGGUGGAUUGGCAUGAAUUCUCUUUUAAACAAAAGCCGGCUCAGUACACGAAUAUUUGCUUUGAGUUCUUCCUUCCUAUGAUGCAGUCAUCGGUUUGCCACAGUUUUUUAGCUUUGGACUCUGUUGUAGGGAUUGCAUAUCAGGUACCGUAAGAUUUCCUCUUGCUUGCCUUUUUCCCCUCGUUGACACAUGGAAGCUGUGUUAGUGUUUUACUGUACAUACUUCAAACAGUGGAGAAGUGUUCGCAAAUCAGCGUUCUUUUCGUUGCUCCUGAUAAAACAAGAAUUAAUCUUAUUUGCUUUUGUACAUAGUCGGACUUUCUCUGUUCGUAUUAAAUUGACAUUUCAUCCUCGGUUCACAAGUUUGGAAAUGAUUAGUUUUGGGUUUUUUUUAAAUCUUUAUAAUUCAAGCAGCAGUAGGCAGUGAUACUUGGGAAAACAGUGAUUCUUUUCCCUGGAUGGGGUCAGGUCAAAGGCAGAAGAGACAAAUGAAACGGUCCAAGUAAGUGGCCUGAAUAAUUAGGCUAGGGUUGUGGGUGGGCAGGUUCCCUUCCCUCAACUGCUUCUGGCCCGAAAGUCCAGUCAGGCGGAGAAUUGGUGUGAUACCAGGAGUUUGCUCUCCCUUCACCUUCGACGUUUUCCUUCUCGAUUCUGGAAGCCGUACGGUCAUUAUUAAAUGUAUCGAGCUGUUGGACCGCGAAGAUUAGCGGGAACUCACAUUCUUCCACAAGGUUGGGAUUUCUCACAUCGAGCAAACUCCACAGUUGGAUCGUGUGAGUGCUUAUCAAAAGUUGAUUGUUUGGGCUGUCUUUUUUUCUGUUGAACAAUCCUUUGUAGCAUCGUGCUUUUCCCUGUUACUGCGCUUGUUUUCUAAAGAUGCCAAAGGAAACUCUAUUUUGCUAUCUGCCGGCCAUUUGGGAUGGAUAUGUGCUUUGCUGUCCUUGAAUGGGCAGUGCUCCUUGUUCUGGUGGCGAAAGUUUGCAUUGUUUUUGCUCUAUGAUGUCAGACACAGAGGUAACAGGGCAAACGAACUUUUCUACUGUCACAUAGAAGAGAAAACUGACGAGGACCACCACACCUUGCUUAAAUGGCGUUAGUCUUAAGAAACGGAAGAUGUUCUCUUAACUGUAAGUCGUUCCUUUCACGCUCGCCCCCACCCACGGGAAUUUAGAAGGUGAGGUCCUGUAGCGUGCUCUCGUGAUGAACUAUAUUUCAUCUGGCUACUGCUUUGGUCCUGAAGUUCAGAAGAAUGGCUAGGCUGCCUGCCUCCCCUCCCAGUGACAAUCAUUAAGAGAAGAAACCGUCUUCAUUGCUAAUUUCAUGUGCUUGAGACCCAGACAUUUUUCGAGACUUGGGGUCUGGAAGGGACGUCACGGGGGAAAACCAGGAUGGGUUUCCGGGAUUUGGAAGUCGGGAGUUUCGGAACUAAAUAUUUUUGGCAUCUUUCAUUGAGGGCGGUAGUGUGUGGGUGGACUGGACCUUCUGGUACUUUUGACAAAGCAAUAAGAAAAUGCUGGACUUUAGAUUUCAGAGGAAAUAUUCUCUUCUGUUUUUCAAUUCAGUUUCUGUGAUUGGCUGCCACUAGAUGACACCCGAAAAGUUGGCCUGAGGUAAAAGCAUUUAAAUGAAGGACUUUGUUAUGAAAUGAACUGCUGGAUUUGGGGCCCUAUCGUUGCUUCUAAUUGUGCUUUCCCCUCCACUUAAAGAAACAGCACCCAGCACCUAAGACGUCACCAUAAAAAUCGGACUUUCCUUUGGGCCAGCGACUUCUUCAGUGGAACUCGACGAUGUCUUCAACGCGGGAAAUCAGCAGCCCAUGGUGCUUUGUGUGUGUGUGUGUAUGUCGCGGCGGGGGAGGGAGGCGUCUUCUGUCCUCAGAGGCAUUCUCCCUAACUCCACCAAAGAAGAGCCUGCCUCACAAGUCGCUCCUCAUCUCGCUUUUUGGAAAAGAAAAAAGAAACAUUUGUAGGAGCCAUGGGCUUGCCCGCUAAGGGGUGGAAUCGCCAGGGAGGGGAGGACUCAAGUCAGGCUUGUCUGGAGAAAGCUAAAAGAGACUUUUUGUACACGUGAUUUAAAAAAAAGAAAUAAAUUCACAUUUGAAAAGCUGCUGGCUUGUUUUCACUGAGAAAUAUGUUGCAAUAAAUGCUCGUUUCCCUGAAA
Ornithorhynchus anatinus (platypus) is the source of this 3698-nucleotide RNA transcript. It is a transcript of the gene named ubiquitin conjugating enzyme E2 K, with no coding region annotated. The transcript is spliced from 7 exons. The record is from RefSeq and is a predicted model, not a curated record. Lineage: Eukaryota; Metazoa; Chordata; Mammalia; Monotremata; Ornithorhynchidae.